This 909-nucleotide ribosomal RNA is filed under the name Triticum aestivum (bread wheat). Its description in RNAcentral is "partial small subunit ribosomal RNA". The record is from RNAcentral. Lineage: Eukaryota; Viridiplantae; Streptophyta; Magnoliopsida; Poales; Poaceae.
AUGGGGCUGAUGGGGCUGAACCGGCUCAUGUCCACGCAGCGGAAGCGGAAGCAGAGGCGGAAUCGUUGCCGUAUCCAAGCCCUCGGUAAUCCCCGCGACAUAGAUGGAUGGAGUGCUGCUUCAUCGGUAUCUAAAGCAGACAGCCCACUCUGCCGACAUGAUGUUAGUUCCCAUGGUGGCAAAGAAGCAAGAUAUCUGGAUCCAGUCCUUCCAGAGGAAGUUUGGUGUCGUAUAUAUUCAUUACUACAGAUGCAAGACGCUGCCUGUGCCGCCUGUGUUUCUCGCUCCUUCCUAGGCUACUGGAGAUGCUACCCCAAUCUCACCUUCACCAAUGAAACAAUGUGCCCUAAAGAAAAUCUAAAGACAGCGGGAUCAAAUGUUAUAAGAGACUACAACAACCAAAUCGACCGUGUUCUGACGAACCGCUCGAGCGCUGAUGGUGUGGCGAAACUCAAGCUUGACUACCAUGUUCCUCCUGAUGGCGCUGAAUCGUAUCAUCGUCUUGAUAGCUGGCUCCAGAUGGCUGUUACGCCGAGGACCAAAGAACUCGAGCUUCUAGUAUGGUCGAAAGAGGCGAGCUUUGAUUUCCCAUGCAUACUACUAUCUGACAUGUGUGGGGGCUCGAUUCAGAAGCUUUUGCUUUUCAAAUGCGCCUUGCGUCCCACAUCUCAACUUGGUUUGAGAAGCCUCAGAACACUGCAUCUGCGUGAUGUGCGUGUCACAGGGGAGGAAUUAGGGUGCCUUCUGUCCAGUUCCAUUGCUUUGGAGCACCUGAAGCUUGUAUACUGCGAUGAUAUAGUUCGCCUGGAGAUACCUUGCCUGUUGCAGAGGCUUAGCUUCCUGGAGGUGGCUGGAUGCAUGAAUCUUCAAGUGAUAGAGAACAAAGCUCCAAAUCUCUCCCAAUUUUAA